This 240-nucleotide unclassified non-coding RNA is filed under the name uncultured fungus. RNAcentral describes it as "sequence contains ITS2". Lineage: Eukaryota; Fungi. The record is from RNAcentral.
AACGCACAUUGCACCUUUUGGUAUUCCGAAAGGUAUGUCUGUUCGAGCGUCAUUUAAACUUCUCAAGCUUUGCUUGGUAUUGAGGAAGGUUUAAGAACCUCUUCAUAACUUAUUGGCAUGAUUUAAAAUUAAUUCAAGCGUAGCAAUGUUAUCGUUUAGUUUUAUUUUAAUCAUCGUCAAACAAACUUAAAAACUUUCAAGUUUGACCUCGGAUCAGAUAAGGAUACCCGCUGAACUUAA